UAAAAUCAAGGGCAAACCGGCCUAAAGGUAGGGACGCAAAGCCGUAGGAUUUAAGGUGCUCAAAAAGUGCUAUGAUAGCCUGGUUGCCAAA
Desulfitobacterium hafniense Y51 is the source of this 91-nucleotide regulatory RNA element. It matches the Rfam family "c-di-GMP-I riboswitch aptamer". From Rfam's summary of the family: GEMM was predicted in a large-scale screen for bacterial structured RNA regulatory elements. Genes associated with GEMM are involved in a diverse array of functions, including chemotaxis regulation, signal transduction, secretion and chitin. The record is from Rfam. NCBI's taxonomy places the organism in Bacteria, Bacillati, Bacillota, Clostridia, Eubacteriales, Desulfitobacteriaceae.